GACGAACGCUGGCGGCGUGCUUAACACAUGCAAGUCGAACGGAAAGGCCCUGCUUUUGUGGGGUGCUCGAGUGGCGAACGGGUGAGUAACACGUGAGUAACCUGCCCUUGACUUUGGGAUAACUUCAGGAAACUGGGGCUAACACCGGAUAGGAGCUCCUGCUGCAUGGUGGGGGUUGGAAAGUUUCGGCGGUUGGGGAUGGACUCGCGGCUUAUCAGCUUGUUGGUGGGGUAGUGGCUUACCAAGGCUUUGACGGGUAGCCGGCCUGAGAGGGUGACCGGCCACAUUGGGACUGAGAUACGGCCCAGACUCCUACGGGAGGCAGCAGUGGGGAAUAUUGCACAAUGGGCGGAAGCCUGAUGCAGCAACGCCGCGUGCGGGAUGACGGCCUUCGGGUUGUAAACCGCUUUCGCCUGUGACGAAGCGUGAGUGACGGUAAUGGGUAAAGAAGCACCGGCUAACUACGU
Molecule: ribosomal RNA, 467 nt
Filed under: uncultured bacterium
Lineage: Bacteria
Description: partial 16S ribosomal RNA
Rfam family: Bacterial small subunit ribosomal RNA
Source: RNAcentral